CAAGUUAGAGCUUGUUUAAAAAGCAUUUUAUUUACAUUAAAAAGUUGUUGUGGAAAUCAAUAUAAUUUGA
RNAcentral lists this transfer RNA (70 nucleotides) under Contacyphon variabilis. RNAcentral's name for it is "tRNA-Val". Lineage: Eukaryota; Metazoa; Arthropoda; Insecta; Coleoptera; Scirtidae. The record is from RNAcentral.